CGAGUCCACUACGAUGAAGAAAUAGCGAGUCACAUCGGCCCCGAGCCGUGCGCAGGCAACCGCGAGGUGGUCGGCGAAGCGUCGGUAGGGGAGCGUAUGGGCCAGCCAUUGAGCCGCGAUAGAUAUAUCCCGGGUGCCGACGCGGUUCAGUACGCGGAAGGUUACACGGCGGGGCGCGAUUUCGCGAGCGCUCCGACGACCCGGCGUGGUCUGAGAACC
This 219-nucleotide non-coding RNA is filed under the name Cupriavidus taiwanensis. Lineage: Bacteria; Pseudomonadati; Pseudomonadota; Betaproteobacteria; Burkholderiales; Burkholderiaceae. The record is from RNAcentral.